RNAcentral lists this ribosomal RNA (329 nucleotides) under uncultured eukaryote. RNAcentral describes it as "partial 18S ribosomal RNA". It matches the Rfam family "Eukaryotic small subunit ribosomal RNA", at positions 1470 to 1796 of the family's 1831-position model. The record is from RNAcentral.
CCCUUAGAUGUUCUGGGCCGCAUGCGCGCUACACUGAUGCAUUCAACGAGUCUAAAACCUGCUCUGAUAGGGGUGGGUAAUCUUUUGAAUGUGCAUCGUGAUUGGGAUAGAUGAUUGAAAUUUUUCAUCUUCAACGAGGAAUGCCUAGUAAACGCAAGUCAUCAGCUUGCAUUGAUUACGUCCCUGCCCUUUGUACACACCGCCCGUCGCUCCUACCGAUUGAAUGAUCCGAUGAAUAUCAUGGAUUGAGGAUGCAAGUAGGUUCACCUAUCUUCAUCUUCGAGAAGUGAAGUAAAUCUUAUCAUUUAGAGGAAGGAGAAGUCGUAACA